This 492-nucleotide ribosomal RNA is filed under the name uncultured bacterium. Its description in RNAcentral is "partial 16S ribosomal RNA". It matches the Rfam family "Bacterial small subunit ribosomal RNA", at positions 29 to 507 of the family's 1533-position model. The record is from RNAcentral.
AGUGAACGCUGGCGGUAGGCCUAACACAUGCAAGUCGAACGGCAGCACAGUAAGAGCUUGCUCUUACGGGUGGCGAGUGGCGGACGGGUGAGGAAUACAUCGGAAUCUACUUUUUCGUGGGGGAUAACGUAGGGAAACUUACGCUAAUACCUCAUACGACCUACGGGUGAAAGCAGGGGAUCUUCGUACCUUGCGAUAUUUAAUAAGCCGAUGUCGGAUUAGCUAGUUGGCGGGGUAAAGGCCCACCAAGGCGACGAUCCGUAGCUGGUCUGCGAGGAUGAUCAGCCACACUGGAACUGAGACACGGUCCAGACUCCUACGGGAGGCAGCAGUGGGGAAUAUUGGACAAUGGGCGCAAGCCUGAUCCAGCCAUACCGCGUGGGUGAAGAAGGCCUUCGGGUUGUAAAGCCCUUUUGUUGGGAAAGAAAAGCAGCAGGUUAAUACCCCGCUGUUCUGACGGUACCCAAAGAAUAAGCACCGGCUAACUUCGUG